Unclassified non-coding RNA from Orbicella faveolata, 3454 nucleotides. Lineage: Eukaryota; Metazoa; Cnidaria; Anthozoa; Scleractinia; Merulinidae. The record is from RefSeq and is a predicted model, not a curated record.
AAUAAUAUACCGCGUUGUCGAUGCGCGAUGCAAAUCAAGUUGCUUGAAUUCGCUUUGUAGUCAGGCGGAGAUUCCCUUGCAAUUUGAGAACAGAAACGUUAAUAGUAAGUGUUGAGAUGGCCGAAGAAGGGGAAUUGUCAUCCCCAGAUGAACUGGAAACAAGCUGUGAUGGAGUGGAGCUCAAUGUUUUAAAAGACAUACUUGGCGAGCCAGCAAAUGAUGAAUUUGCUGCUGAACUAGAUACACAAGCAAAGACAAGUGCACCUAGCAGAAAAAGAAAAGCAACCAGUGAUGAAAAAAAUGGUACUUCUAAAGUAAGGCAUGUGCUGGACAGUCAAGCCAAAGAAAACAGUUCUUCAAGUGGUCAAACCUCAAGAAGCUCAAGUCAGUGUCAAACCAAGGCCAAUGACAAGACGCUUAAGACUGCUCCUUCCACUGAUUUAGAGUCAGGUGAUGUUGAUAAGGAAAAACUACAGAUGAAGGAGAAGGAAGAAAAAGAGCGACACAAAAUUAAACUUAAGGAGAAGGAAAAAGCCCCAAAUUUAAGUCAGCUUGAAACUGAAAGUGUAAGCAAGGAAAAGGCAAAGGAAAAGGACUCUUUAAAAAACAAACAAAGAGAUAUGAAGUGUCUUAAGAAUGAUUCUGACACCAAAACUGGUGACAAAGAAUUGAAGAAAAAGGAAGAACAGAAGUCAGUAACAACUGAAACUAAGGAAGUUUUAGAAAAGGAAAAAGAAGAGAAAACAGUGGAGACUGUUUGCAAAAAGGUAGCUAGUCCCAAAAGCAAAGAAACUUUGAAGAAUGCCAUGAAAGACAGCUCUAAGAAAGAAACAGGAAAGAAAGAGAUGAAGAAAAAAGCUCUUGAGAUCAUCAAAGGACAAGGUAAAGUUACAAGAGAAAAAGUAAAACCAGUUCCGGGAGAGAAGACAGACACUGAAAUCCUAAUGAAGAAAGAUGCAAAGCAAAGUGUACUUUGUAAUCCAGCUGAAAUGAGAAGUAGCAAAAGCCAGGAUCUGCCCAGUUCUCCUGCUGAAAAAAUUCAUCAAAAGCAGGCUCAUGUUGGAUUGAUAGGAAAGGAUGUUGAGGGUGGUGAAGUGAAAAACAAAUCCACUGAAAAGAAAUCUGCUACUCACGUAAAAUCUAAGAGAUCUAAAGUUGGUAAAAGUAGUCGAAAGGAAACCAAGCAAAUGGAACCUGCAGUGGAAAUGGAACAAGAUGAGAACAAAGUGCAGGAUGUGGAAAGUGUUGCUGAACCUGUGGAAGAGAGUAAACAAAAGAUUCAGGGGCAUGUUAUGGAUGAGUGUGGUACUGAAGAAAAUAUGGAAACAAAAGGUACAGAUGAAACAUUAAUAGAGACUUUAGUGGAAAACAAAGCAGCCUGUGUGGAAGAGGCAGAGGCAGCCAGCAAAUAUGUUGUCAGUGAGGAUAUGGAAGUGAUUGAUGAUCUGGAAGAGGGUAGUGAGGGUGCCAGUAAUGAUAGUGGAGAUUUUAGUGAUGCAGAUGGAGGAACAGCUACACCCUCUUCAUCAGGCACUUCAAAAUCAGAAUCAGAAAAUGCAAGUGACAGAGAACAAAAACUACAAGAAGAAAGGACUAAAGUAAAGAGAAGGAAAAGAAAGGCUGCCUCCCCAGCAGUAGCAACCAAAUCUAGUGAUGAAAGUGAUAAUUCUUCAGUUGAUAGUCCGCUUCACGUUAAAAGCAAAGUGGCAAGGGCAUCAUCCAAAGCCAAAAACAAGUUCAAUUUAGAUGACUUCUUUGAUGAGGCACGAUACUUUGUGAUGAAGAGUAACAAUCAUGAGAAUGUAGCACUUUCAAAAGCCAAGGGUGUCUGGUCAACUCCCAAGGCUAAUGAAAAGAAACUGAAUGCAACAUUUAAGCGAUAUAAAAAUGUCAUCCUGAUCUUCUCUGUAAAGGAGAGUGGAAAGUUCCAGGGUUUUGCCAGACUUGCAUCUGAAGCCAAACAUGGAGGCCAGCCAAUGCCAUGGGUGUUGCCUCCUGGAAUGAGCGCAAAGGCCUUGGGGGGAGUAUUCAAACUUGAGUGGCUCAACAGGAGAGAACUUUGGUUUAGCAAGUGUUUACAUUUAAGGAAUCCUUGGAAUGACAACAAAGAGGUGAAAAUAUGCCGUGAUGGACAGGAAGUGGAACCUUCUGUAGGUGAAGCCCUUUGUCGAUUGUUUCCUGAAGAUGAGACUGUGGACCUCAACACAUCUCAUCACUCAUCAGAGAGACGGCGUAGGAAGGAAAAGGAUACUGCUAGGAUGUGUGGGAAUGUUGUGAUCAAGCAUUACAUCUGCUCUGAAAUGGACUUAAGGCCAUUCAACAGCCUAGGACAAUACCUCAAUGGAUUUACUUCAAAAAGACUUUUCUGUUACUUAUCAAGAUCUUAUAUUGAAAAUGGACUUAUCUUCAGACUGAAAUUUUUAUCUGCGACUCCGGGGUUUUAGCUCCUUUAAGCAGAAGAACUUACAAAUUUACAGAUGCUUUCCAAAGUGUUCAAAAGCUUUGCCAACAAAGAAAUUAUUUUUGUGUUCAAGCGGAAAUUCCUAUUGCAAAGUGCAUUUUUCCAAAGGAGAUGAUUAAUGUAAAGAGAGUUAAAUUUAGAUAACUGACAUUAAUCAUUUUUCUGUCAUAUAAAUUUGCACUACCAUCCAGGAGUUUACAACACCUUCUAUUUAACCAAGGAUCUACAUUUUGAUAUAAACCUUCUAUCAUGUCAGGCCAGAUGCUAUUUAUAGGGGAUCAGAGUUCUGGUGUAGGGAAUGCUUCAAGGGACCAAUUUAAGUGUUAUGUCGCAUACAAGACAUGACUGGACAAUAACUGUUUGUGUUGUCACAGUUCCUUAAUGCGUUCCUGCAUCCUGAGAGUGUAAAUGCUACAGUGCAAAUCAAUUACGUUUAUCAGUGCUUGAGUUUGUGACACACAAAUGGUGUUUUUAUGCAAACACAUAAGAUGUCAACACCUCUGGAUGGUCUAAAACAUCUGAAUAUUAUCAUCCUUGGGAUUUGAAAGAUUAGUCAGUUGAGCUAAUGGAGAGCUCAAGAAAGGGACUAAAUAUCUUCAUCACCUAGUACGAUAUUAUGAUGUCAGUCCACAAUCAGAGUCUGCCAAGGAGUGCAAGUGGUAGUUGCUGUAUGGAGGUGACAGCGCUGUGCUUCCAUAAAAAUUAACAUGUUUUUAACAUGCUUCUUGAUCUUUAUUAAGUUAUAGCAACUGCUUUUAUCAUGUUUGGUACUUUGAAUGAUAUGUUGUUAUGAAUGUGUACUCUUAUCCCUGGCAAGACAGUUUGGCUGUUCUAACCGCCAACAACCAGCUGUUAAAGAACAUACCUUUAAUUCCAGCUGUUUCUUAUCAUUAGGCAUCGUCCUAGACACUCUGAUGAAAUUCGCAAAUCAAAGAGAAAACACAGAGUUUCAGGAUCAAGACACCAUUCACGAGACCACCAUGAUUCUCUACC